CUGAGGGUGCCCACCUUGGGGCCCUUGGGAGCAGCAGGUCUCCCACGUGGGAGACAAGCCACCCUGUUUAAUAUUUAAACGGCAGUGUUCCCU
This is a non-coding RNA of Echinops telfairi (small Madagascar hedgehog), 93 nucleotides long. Lineage: Eukaryota; Metazoa; Chordata; Mammalia; Afrosoricida; Tenrecidae. The record is from Rfam.